AGGGUUCGAUUCUGGCUCAGGAUGAACGCUGGCGGCGUGCUUAGCACAUGCAAGUCGAACGAACCUUCGGGUUAGUGGCGGACGGGUGAGUAACGCGUGAGAAUCUGCCCUCAGGAGGGGGAUAACGGUUGGAAACGACCGCUAAUACCCCAUAUGCCUAUUGGUGAAAUGAAUUUCGCCUGAGGAUGAGCUCGCGUCUGAUUAGCUAGUUGGUGAGGUAAUGGCUCACCAAGGCUUCGAUCAGUAGCUGGUCUGAGAGGAUGAUCAGCCACACUGGGACUGAGACACGGCCCAGACUCCUACGGGAGGCAGCAGUGGGGAAUUUUCCGCAAUGGGCGAAAGCCUGACGGAGCAACGCCGCGUGAGGGACGAAGGCCUCUGGGCUGUAAACCUCUUUUCUCAAGGAAGAAGAUAUGACGGUACUUGAGGAAUAAGCCACGGCUAAUUCCGUGCCAGCAGCCGCGGUAAUACGGGAGUGGCAAGCGUUAUCCGGAAUUAUUGGGCGUAAAGCGUCCGCAGGCGGCUUUUCAAGUCUGCUGUUAAAGCGUGGAGCUUAACUCCAUCAUGGCAGUGGAAACUGAAAGGCUUGAGUAUGGUAGGGCAGAGGGAAUUCCCGGUGUAGCGGUGAAAUGCGUAGAUAUCGGGAAGAACACCAGUGGCGAAGGCGCUCUGCUGGGCCAUUACUGACGCUCAUGGACGAAAGCCAGGGGAGCGAAAGGGAUUAGAUACCCCUGUAGUCCUGGCCGUAAACGAUGAACACUAGGUGUCGGGGGAAUCGACCCCUUCGGUGUCGUAGCUAACGCGUUAAGUGUUCCGCCUGGGGAGUACGCACGCAAGUGUGAAACUCAAAGGAAUUGACGGGGGCCCGCACAAGCGGUGGAGUAUGUGGUUUAAUUCGAUGCAACGCGAAGAACCUUACCAGGGUUUGACAUCCUGCGAACCUCUUAGAAAUUUGAGGGUGCCUUCGGGAAUGCAGUGACAGGUGGUGCAUGGCUGUCGUCAGCUCGUGUCGUGAGAUGUUGGGUUAAGUCCCGCAACGAGCGCAACCCACGUUUUUAGUUGCCAGCAUUUAGUUGGGCACUCUAGAAAGACCGCCGGUGAUAAACCGGAGGAAGGCGUGGAUGACGUCAAGUCAUCAUGCCCCUUACACCCUGGGCUACACACGUACUACAAUGCCACGGACAAAGGGCAGCAAACUCGCGAGAGCUAGCAAAUCCCAUAAACCGUGGCUCAGUUCAGAUCGUAGGCUGCAACUCGCCUACGUGAAGUAGGAAUCGCUAGUAAUCGCAGGUCAGCAUACUGCGGUGAAUACGUUCCCGGGCCUUGUACACACCGCCCGUCACACCAUGGAAGUUGGCCAUGCCCGAAGUCGUUACUCCAACCCUUGUGGAGGAGGACGCCGAAGGUGGGGCUAAUGACUGGGGUGAAGUCGUAACAAGGUAACCAAGGG
RNAcentral lists this ribosomal RNA (1450 nucleotides) under uncultured bacterium. RNAcentral describes it as "bacterial SSU rRNA". It matches the Rfam family "Bacterial small subunit ribosomal RNA". The record is from RNAcentral.